RNAcentral lists this ribosomal RNA (406 nucleotides) under uncultured bacterium. RNAcentral describes it as "partial 16S ribosomal RNA". It matches the Rfam family "Bacterial small subunit ribosomal RNA", at positions 30 to 526 of the family's 1533-position model. The record is from RNAcentral.
AUUGAACGCUGGCGGCAGGCCUAACACAUGCAAGUCGGGCGAGCGGAGGACGGGUGAGUAAUGUAUGGGGAUCUGCCUGAUGGCGGGGGAUAACUACUGGAAACGGUAGCUAAUACCGCAUACCAUCAGAUGAACCCAUAUGGGCUUAGCUAGGAGGUGAGGUAACGGCUUACCUAGGCGACGAUCCCUCGCUGGUCUGAGAGGAUGAUCAGCCACACGGGGACUGAGACACGGCCCAGACUCCUGCGGGAGGCAGCAGUGGGGAAUAUUGCACAAUGGGCGCAAGCCUGAUACAGCCAUGCCGCGUGUAUGAAGAAGGCCUUCGGGUUGUAAAGUACUUUCAGUCGGGAGGCGUUACCGGCAGAAGAAGCACCGGCUAACUCCGUGCCAGCAGCCGCGGUAAUAC